GACAGUCCCGCCGAUAGCCCCGGCGCCAAUGAUAGUGAUGGGUCGGUCUCGCAGAUCAGGUGUUGCCAUUCGCUCUCUCCCCGCCUUUUACGCAUCUGAUUCGGCUCCCCCGUUGACGGGAGGCGGA
RNAcentral lists this unclassified non-coding RNA (127 nucleotides) under plant metagenome. RNAcentral describes it as "partial contains 5.8S ribosomal RNA, internal transcribed spacer 2, and large subunit ribosomal RNA". The record is from RNAcentral.